RNAcentral lists this unclassified non-coding RNA (253 nucleotides) under uncultured Candidatus Altimarinota bacterium. Its description in RNAcentral is "uncultured Candidatus Gracilibacteria bacterium contains 16S-23S intergenic spacer region". It matches the Rfam family "Bacterial small subunit ribosomal RNA", at positions 524 to 776 of the family's 1533-position model. The record is from RNAcentral. Lineage: Bacteria; Candidatus Altimarinota.
UACGUAAGGUGCAAACGUUACCCGGAAUCAUUGGGCGUAAAGCGUCCGCAGGCGGCAAGGUAAGUAAGAUGUUAAAUCUUGAGGCUCAACUUCAAGACCGCGUCUUAAACUGCCUAGCUAGAGACUUGGAGAGGCGAGUGGAAUUCUGUAUGUAGGGGUAAAAUCCGUAGAUAUACAGAGGAACACCAAAAGCGAAGGCAGCUCGCUGGCCAAGUUCUGACGCUCAGGGACGAAAGCAUGGGUAGCGAACGGG